ACAAAUAGGCUUAUUUACUCAUUAAACUAUACUGGAAGAAUAAGUGAAUAUAUUUGAAAGUAAUAAUCCUGAAUUUCUUUUAAGCUAUUGUAUGAUUGAGUGGUUCUCAGGAAUGAGUACAUGAUUAUUGUGUUUAGCUAUAUAUUUGAGGCCUAAUUAACCAAUAUGUGAAUAACCAUCCAGGACCACUGUUAUCUUAACCUCUUGCUUUUCUCCCACUGUAAUAUAAAAAUGAUAAUGUCUGUUUCCAUGCAUAUGAACUCAAAUUCUUGGAGCUGCUUUAAAUGAAGGACUCCUGAGGUGUCUGAGCAGACAGAGCAGUCCCAGCUGAAGAACAUCUGAGGUGUCACUUUCCAUACUUAUCAGCCCUGGGCAACUUCCAGCACAGGACAGGGACAGUUCCCAAGGUCACUUCUAGCCCCAGGAUCCUCUGACUCGCUCCAGGCAUGAUUGCCAUGAUGAUUUCCAAGGAGGCAAGGAACACAUCGGAAGGACAGCCAAAUGUUGGUCAUCUUGACUAAUUCCUGGGACCGUGCAAGAAGACGGAAAAGUAUUUGUUUCCUCAGAUUAAUUUAUUUGAAAAGUGACAGCAGAAACCCUUUGUUCUUAAUAGUAAAGACUGUAGACUUAGAAAAUAAACCAAUCAUAUAUACUAUGGUACAAUCUAUAUAUUGGGAGAAUGGUAAUUUAGUGGGAGUUUCCCCUUAGAGAAAGAGCCUACUCAUUGCUUCUUUAUUUAAACUACUGAUUGACUAAGGAGUAUAAGAAAUUAAUACAAUGAAUUUCUUUUCUAGCAAAUGUCCCAGAACAUAUCCAUACAAAAGGGCCAACUACUGAGAAGCCAGAUUAUCUCAAUGCUGCUGGCCUUUCUCAGUGCGUGUUGAGAUGCCUCUCUGAAGCCUUUCUUCAUUGAAAUUGUUAUAUUUUUGGAACAAGCCAGCAAAAUUCCUUUUUUUUUUUAGUCAUUGAAACCCAUUUGGCAUCCAAAAUGUAACAUCUAGUACUUGGCUCUGUGUUACUUAGUCCUUGUGACUAAUUAUAAAAACCAUAUUUACAGAGAAAGAUGUACUCUUUAGAGCACCUCAGUGGUGAAAAACAAUAGUUAGUGCUUUAUUAGGUGAAACUUUUGAAAUGAGCAUCAGUCAUUUGGAACUUUAAAAAAGCCAUCACCCUUAGUUUUAUUAUGCUUUCCUGCAGUG
Molecule: long non-coding RNA, 1199 nt
Filed under: Bos taurus (domestic cattle)
Lineage: Eukaryota; Metazoa; Chordata; Mammalia; Artiodactyla; Bovidae
Description: long non-coding RNA NONBTAT008224
Source: RNAcentral